Molecule: ribosomal RNA, 363 nt
Filed under: uncultured cyanobacterium
Lineage: Bacteria; Bacillati; Cyanobacteriota
Description: bacterial SSU rRNA
Rfam family: Bacterial small subunit ribosomal RNA
Source: RNAcentral
GAUGAACGCUGGCGGUCUGCUUAACACAUGCAAGUCGAACGAACUCUUCGGAGUGAGUGGCGGACGGGUGAGUAACGCGUGAGAAUCUGGCUGUGGGUCGGGGACAACCACUGGAAACGGUGGCUAAUACCGGAUGAGCCGAAAGGUAAAAGAUUUAUUGCCCACAGAUGAGCUCGCGUCUGAUUAGCUAGUUGGUAAGGUAAAAGCGUACCAAGGCGACGAUCAGUAUCUGGUUUGAGAGGAUGAGUCAGACACACUGGAACUGAGACACGGUCCAGACUCCUACGGGAGGCAAGCAGUGGGAAUUUUCCGCAAUGGGCGAAAGCCUGACGGAGCAAUCUCGCGUGAGGGAUGACUGCCUAU